CAAUUAUUCAGAGCACAACCUGCAUUUUUCACUUCAGCUGAACGCCUGGUUUUGGAUUUUCUCCAAGCAGCAGUUCUUCUGAAUUGUUCUUCCCACCUCUCCCACCCCUCCACCCAUAUACCCCAAACCUCCACCCUUUCACCCACCCACAAAAAAAAAAAAAAAAAAAGUUCUUUUUCAAUACUAAGUUGAUCAUUUGUGUUCAAAUACUACUGUUCUUUUAAAAGUUCAGUCCUUUUAAUACUAGGUUAAUAAUUUGUUUAAUCUAUUGUUUUUUUUUCUUUGGAAAAAAAAGUUUUUCUAUUAAUAUUAGAUUCAUAAUUUGUUUUAUCUGCUACUGUUCUUUUUAUUAAAAAAAAGUUUAUUAGCUGUAUUUAUAAAAUCAUUAUUUUUCUUGUCAAUUAACUAACUUGUUUUUUUUCUUGAGAAUACUUUGCAGGUUGUAUCGCUCCAGCAUUUUGUGAAGGAUGCCUCGGAAAGGUAGGAGAUCACGGGCUCAAAAAGUUCGUAUGGACAAAGUUAGACCUGACGGGAACGAC
This is a long non-coding RNA of Cyprinus carpio (common carp), 539 nucleotides long. RefSeq lists it as uncharacterized. NCBI's taxonomy places the organism in Eukaryota, Metazoa, Chordata, Actinopteri, Cypriniformes, Cyprinidae. The transcript is spliced from 3 exons. The record is from RefSeq and is a predicted model, not a curated record.